Molecule: non-coding RNA, 1971 nt
Organism: Anas platyrhynchos (mallard)
Lineage: Eukaryota; Metazoa; Chordata; Aves; Anseriformes; Anatidae
Source: RefSeq, a predicted model, not a curated record
GACCUUGAGGAGAGCCUAGCACAAUUCACAUAUCUCUGUAAAACAGGUAAUGGUCACACAGUUCACUGGAGAAAAUUGAUUGUGUCACAGUGAAUGAACUGCUGCUGGGCUGAUCAGCCUCACUGAAGUCAAGGUUUGCACUCAAGUGCCGCUAGUUUGGAGUUAUGUGUCAGGUAUAAUUUAAUACUGGGAACCCAGAAGUAUCUGAUCACGCUUUGGAGAGAGCCUAACUACUCUGUUCUGCAUGUCAAAUUAACUACCCAGUAGUGAGCUCCCCCAGCUAAAUGAUCACCCGUUGGCCAGCUGCCACACCACAAAGCUCCCCAUACAACCGUCUCAAAAAUGGAAACUUGUUAUUCUGGAGCUGCCCUGUGAAUACCCGUUCUGUCAAGGCUGGAGGGAAAUAUUUGGGGCAGGCAGGCUGAGAAAACAGAGAGGUGUUGGGUGUCAGAAUUGAUUUAAAUGGGCUGCAGCUUUGCACAGGAGCACUGGAGCUCAGCAGCCAGAGGAUGGGAGGUAGCCAGGGCAGGGGGCUCAGGGACAGGAGAAAGUGCACUAGAGAUAAGCCUUGAAUGCCCAAGAGUUUCAUUUGGUUGAAACAACAGAGCAUUGUCUGUUCCCACAUGAUGUGUGAGGCCCUCCUAAUUUUCACAAUCAUUAACAGGUAACUUCUGCAUUUACUGAACAACUUCCUGUGUACUGCUGCUGGUAAAUCAAUAGACACGGCUCCCUGGGGACCCUUACAGUCCAAACUGCCAGGGGACCUGGCAGUGACUGCUCAUGAGGCCUCCCUGAAGAUCUUCUGAGGGUGUUGAGCACUUCUGGGUGCUUCUCUGCCAGAGACCCCUGUGUCCCUAAAGCCUCUGCCUUAUCCAAAUGAGGGUGUGUUGUGUAACCUCUUUUGGCAGCCUGUCCUACUGCUUUACUGCCCUCACUGACUGAGCUUCAGCUGCCUGAGAGGUUUUCAAUGCUUUUAUGCCACCAGAAGGCAGAGGAAAGAGAACAUAUAUAGGAGAGAUGACAGAAAGUGCACCACUAUAAGUCAACUGUUUGUUCUAUAACCUUUUCAUUGGCCAUGGGCCACCCAAAUCAGAUCACAUCAGAUAACAUAACACAAUAACUUUACACAAGAUGUUUUUAGACUACUGGCUGCUGUCACACAGAUGCCAUGAAGUAAACUCACUAACUUAAAUAUAGGGUGAAGUGUAGCUGCUUAUGCACUGUUAAGCAAAGAAACUGUCUUCUUGCUAUGUGCAUUCUUAAAUUCCAAGGGUCAGUCUAGGGCACACCACCCUGUUCCCUGCUUUCUUCCCUCAGGAUGCUAGAAAUAGACCAUUCAACAGGGCAUUCUGGAGAGAAAUGUCUUUGCUGGUGUAGAUCCAUCACCAAGAAACACCACUCUUCCUCUAUCCUCUGAAAGCCACAUACUUCAUUAACCCUACAGGUUAAGCAUCUGAACACUAGGAGUGACUCUGAUGAUGCCAACACAAUCACAGGAAAAGCUGACCAGGUCCACAAGAAACAUGGAGAGAUUGUUGCACACAGAAAUCCACAUCGUGUCAUGAUGAGCUAAAGCCUACAGGGGUGAAACUGAACCUUUGUUCUUCUUCUCAUGGUGUGCUGUCCAACACACGGAACAGUCAGAGAGAUAUCCUUGGAAACAGAUACAUACACCUGCCAUUUUGUUCAGGUGGACUUGACCUAUAUGACUAUUUUCUUAGCCAUAAUAUGAUACUAAUUCUUCAUGUUUUCAAAUUGUUUUACUUCCCCAAUUUCCAACAUCCAUUGAAUGUCACCUCCAGUCUAUGAUAUUUAAUCUGAGCUGAGAGAUAUUUAAUCUGAGCUGAGACAAGUAACAGGAACCCUAGGUAAAUAUGAUAGUUAUAAAUAUAAUUAAAUUUUCUUCCAAUUCUUUUCUGAAACUGUUGCCAGCCUUGGCAAAGUUACCUACAUUAAAUAGUUUCUCCCCUA